UUUGUUUGAUGGCUGAGAGUUAAGCGGUAGACUGUAGAUCUAUUAACGGAGUUAAGUCUCCUCAACAAAA
Molecule: transfer RNA, 70 nt
Filed under: Lyncina vitellus
Lineage: Eukaryota; Metazoa; Mollusca; Gastropoda; Littorinimorpha; Cypraeidae
Description: tRNA-Tyr
Rfam family: tRNA
About the family: Transfer RNA (tRNA) molecules are approximately 80 nucleotides in length. Their secondary structure includes four short double-helical elements and three loops (D, anti-codon, and T loops).
Source: RNAcentral